This 587-nucleotide ribosomal RNA is filed under the name uncultured bacterium. Its description in RNAcentral is "bacterial SSU rRNA". It matches the Rfam family "Bacterial small subunit ribosomal RNA", at positions 338 to 916 of the family's 1533-position model. The record is from RNAcentral.
CCUACGGGAGGCAGCAGUAGGGAAUCUUCCGCAAUGGACGAAAGUCUGACGGAGCAACGCCGCGUGAACGAUGAAGGCCUUCGGGUCGUAAAGUUCUGUUGUUAGGGAAGAACAAGUGCUAGUUGAAUAAGCUGGCACCUUGACGGUACCUAACCAGAAAGCCACGGCUAACUACGUGCCAGCAGCCGCGGUAAUACGUAGGUGGCAAGCGUUGUCCGGAAUUAUUGGGCGUAAAGCGCGCGCAGGCGGUUUCUUAAGUCUGAUAUGAAAGCCCCCGGCUCAACCGGGGAGGGUCAUUGGAAACUGGGAAACUUGAGUGCAGAAGAGGAAAGUGGAAUUCCAAGUGUAGCGGUGAAAUGCGUAGAGAUUUGGAGGAACACCAGUGGCGAAGGCGACUUUCUGGUCUGUAACUGACGCUGAGGCGCGAAAGCGUGGGGAGCAAACAGGAUUAGAUACCCUGGUAGUCCACGCUGUAAACGAUGAGUGCUAAGUGUUAGAGGGUUUCCGCCUUUAGUGCUGAAGUUAACGCAUUAAGCACUCCGCCUGGGGAGUACGGUCGCAAGACUGAAACUCAAAUGAAUUGACGG